CCAAGACUGUCCAGAAAAUUCAUUUGGUUGCUUAAUUUUGAACCGCUUACGUUUGGAUUUUGGAAAUGGUUUCUUCUACACAAAUAUAGCCUUUUGAACCUAGUUUCCAACGCCACUGAUGGAACCUAAUUCCAACUUUUUUACAGUGAAUUAUAACCGUUUUCCCGAGACUGUCGGGAAGACUGUUCAAUCCGAGAAAAAAGGAACCCUUAAGCCUAAAUGAAACCUUUCUUUUGCCGAGCUUUCAUGUACACAUUAAACUUAUUUUCUCAUGAACUUUUACCAUGGUAUGGACCUCAUUGCAUGCCGGAUUAAGUAUCCUAGACUACUCACUUGGUUUCUUACUAAACCUAUAAUUUAGUAAGGAACGAAUCUAAUUGUUAACAAUUUCACUCGUUGCCCUAGGUUUGGGGAAACGAAGGUGACCGUAACUGAGGCGUUUGACGUUGAUUACUAC
RNAcentral lists this long non-coding RNA (457 nucleotides) under Coffea arabica (coffee). RNAcentral's name for it is "long non-coding RNA (CARA_LNC005372)". The record is from RNAcentral. Lineage: Eukaryota; Viridiplantae; Streptophyta; Magnoliopsida; Gentianales; Rubiaceae.